AGCGCAGACGGUUAUUUAAGCAAGAUGUGAAAGCCCCGGGCUCAACCUGGGAACUGCGUUUUGAACUGGGUAACUAGAGUGUGUCAGAGGGGGGUAGAAUUCCACGUGUAGCAGUGAAAUGCGUAGAGAUGUGGAGGAAUACCGAUGGCGAAGGCAGCCCCCUGGGAUAACACUGACGUUCAUGCUCGAAAGCGCGGGUAGCAAACA
Molecule: ribosomal RNA, 207 nt
Filed under: uncultured bacterium
Lineage: Bacteria
Description: partial 16S ribosomal RNA
Rfam family: Bacterial small subunit ribosomal RNA
Source: RNAcentral